This 499-nucleotide ribosomal RNA is filed under the name uncultured bacterium. RNAcentral describes it as "bacterial SSU rRNA". It matches the Rfam family "Bacterial small subunit ribosomal RNA", at positions 24 to 518 of the family's 1533-position model. The record is from RNAcentral.
UCAGGAUGAACGCUAGCUACAGGCCUAACACAUGCAAGUCGAGGGGCAGCAUGUCGGUAGCUUGCUACCGAUGAUGGCGACCGGCGAAUGGGUGAGUCACGCGUGUCCAACCUGCCCCCCGCCCGGGGAUAGCCCUUGGAAAUGAGGAUUAAGACCCGAUACGUGCCGCCUCCGCAUGGCGGCGGCAUGAAACCGGCAGGGGAUGGGGACGCGUCGGAUUAGCUUGACGGCGGGGCGACGGCCCACCGUGGCGACGAUCCGCAGGGGUUCUGAGAGGAAGGUCCCCCACACUGGCACUGAGACACGGGCCAGACUCCUACGGGAGGCAGCAGUGAGGAAUAUUGGUCAAUGGCCGAGAGGCUGAACCAGCCAAGUAGCGUGCCAGGAUGACGGCCCUACGGGUUGUAAACUGCUUUUGCGGGAGGAUAAAGUGCGCUACGUGUAGCGCUUUGCAGGUAUCCCGUGAAUAAGGACCGGCUAAUUCCGUGCCAGCAGCGGC